UAGGGAAUCUUCCACAAUGGACGCAAGUCUGAUGGAGCAACGCCGCGUGAGUGAAGAAGGGUUUCGGCUCGUAAAGCUCUGUUGUUAAAGAAGAACGUGGGCAAGAGUAACUGUUUACCCAGUGACGGUAUUUAACCAGAAAGCCACGGCUAACUACGUGCCAG
RNAcentral lists this ribosomal RNA (164 nucleotides) under uncultured bacterium. RNAcentral's name for it is "partial 16S ribosomal RNA". It matches the Rfam family "Bacterial small subunit ribosomal RNA", at positions 355 to 511 of the family's 1533-position model. The record is from RNAcentral.